RNAcentral lists this ribosomal RNA (322 nucleotides) under uncultured Eocercomonas. RNAcentral describes it as "SSU rRNA". The stretch from base 101 to 322 matches the Rfam family "Eukaryotic small subunit ribosomal RNA", at positions 732 to 955 of the family's 1831-position model. Lineage: Eukaryota; Cercozoa; Cercomonadida; Cercomonadidae. The record is from RNAcentral.
GAUUUCUGGCUUGGUGCGCGCCGUCCGGUGCGGUUACGUACUGUGUGCGGUUGUGCGCCUGCCAUCCUGCUGGUUAGUAUUCUGGGCCCUUCACUGGGUUUCAGGUGCUGAUCGGCUCUUUUACUUUGAAAAAAUUAGAGUGUUCAAAGCAGGCUUGCGCUAUGAAUACAUUAGCAUGGAAUAAUAAUUUAGGACUUUUGUCCUAUUUUGUUGGUUUCUAGGAUGAAAGUAAUGAUUGAUAGGGAUAGUUGGGGGUGCUAGUAUUCAGCGGCCAGAGGUGAAAUUCUUGGAUUCGCUGAAGACUAACUUAUGCGAAAGCAUU